UCUUCGGCGGGCGCAUCUUGUCGUACAGCUUCGGGUCCUCCGGCAGGAUAUCGUUGAACGUGAGACUGGUUCUAGGCGUUUGGGGUUGAUGGAGAGAUCAGUGGCACACAGAAAGCGGAUUGGAUGGGGUGGCGCUGACUUACUGAUACUCGCCAUUGAUUUCCCGAACGCAUUGUGCCACCAUCAGUAGCAGUCCACCUAUCGCAUACUGCACCAGCAUGUCACUUGUCUGUGGAAGAAGCGAUACAGGAAACGGAGACAGUGUGUGAGAAAGAGAGAAAAAGUACACACACAAUGCAGCUGCACGAAAUCAAACAAAAAACAAGGGGGUGGGUGGGUAUUAUCCGACAUGUCCCAGGCACACAGGUUCUGCUCCACCGGCCUCCCUAUGAUUUGCUGCCCCGGUUGUGGUGUAUGUAACAAACAAUGAUCAAAUCUUGUUUGCAGUGCAAGAUAAUGCCUU
Long non-coding RNA from Anopheles arabiensis, 463 nucleotides. RefSeq lists it as uncharacterized. The record is from RefSeq and is a predicted model, not a curated record. The transcript has 2 exons. Lineage: Eukaryota; Metazoa; Arthropoda; Insecta; Diptera; Culicidae.